GUGGGGAAUCUUGCGCAAUGGGCGAAAGCCUGACGCAGCCAUGCCGCGUGGAUGAUGAAGGUCUUAGGAUUGUAAAAUCCUUUCACCGGUGAAGAUAAUGACUGUAGCCGGAGAAGAAGCCCCGGCUAACUUCGUGCCAGCAGCCGCGGUAAUACGAAGGGGGCUAGCGUUGCUCGGAUUUACUGGGCGUAAAGGGCGCGUAGGCGGACAUUUAAGUCAGGGGUGAAAUCCCGGGGCUCAACCUCGGAACUGCCUUUGAUACUGGGUGUCUUGAGUAUGAGAGAGGUGUGUGGAACUCCGAGUGUAGAGGUGAAAUUCUUAGAUAUUCGGAAGAACACCAGUGGCGAAGGCGACACACUGGCUCAUUACUGACGCUGAGGCGCGAAAGCGUGGGGAGCAAACAGGAUUAGAAACCCUGGUAGUCC
Molecule: ribosomal RNA, 425 nt
Filed under: uncultured bacterium
Lineage: Bacteria
Description: partial 16S ribosomal RNA
Rfam family: Bacterial small subunit ribosomal RNA
Source: RNAcentral